This 607-nucleotide long non-coding RNA is filed under the name Piliocolobus tephrosceles (Ugandan red Colobus). RNAcentral describes it as "lncRNA (ENSPTEG00000009431.1)". The record is from RNAcentral. Lineage: Eukaryota; Metazoa; Chordata; Mammalia; Primates; Cercopithecidae.
AUAUAUAUAUAUAUAUAUACUUUUUCAUAAAUGUUACGUUUUGUAAAUUUUAAAAAAUUAAUUAAAUUGUAAAUUAUAAAAUAUAAAAAAUAAAAUAGCGAAAAUGGUACUAUCAACAAGAAGAAAAAAAAAACCUCGCAAUACUAUAAAUUCUAAAUUUUUAAAAAUUAGGAAAAGAAAAAGAGACGUUGAUGAAAUAUACAAUGACUACCAUGAAAAAGGAGCUCCUAAACAUGAUGAGGAUGAACAGUGCGGUGCACUAAUUAAAUGCUAUGCUUGUGAUAUCAUUUUUAUAAGUGAAAAAGCAAAGGAGCAGCAUCAGAAGACGAAAAAACAUAAGAGACGAGUCAAGAUGUUAACUAAAGAAACACCAUAUACCUAUAAAGAUGCCCUUAAAGCUGCAGAAAUAACACUUUAGUCUAUGCAUAUGCAUGCGCAUACACAUACAUAUACACAUGAGUGUUGAUAAUACGUUAUGUACAUAUGUAUACAUACACGCACAUAUAUAUAAGUUUAUAAAAAUAGCACUUUUUUUUUUUUUUAAACAUUUGUUAAAGAAACAAGUUUUGUUAGUUUUAAAAAUAAAUACAAAUUAUAUAUAGUGUCA